This is a long non-coding RNA of Nannospalax galili (Upper Galilee mountains blind mole rat), 347 nucleotides long. RefSeq lists it as uncharacterized. The transcript has 3 exons. Lineage: Eukaryota; Metazoa; Chordata; Mammalia; Rodentia; Spalacidae. The record is from RefSeq and is a predicted model, not a curated record.
CAUCCAUUCCUGUGACACAGGGAAGGAGACACAGGUGACUGAGGAGCAGGUGCAGGAGUUUUAUCAGAUCGCCGAGAAGCACGGCAUCGCGAAGGAGAACAUUCAGGACGCCGUCCCCACUGAUACGUGUGAGGAUUAAAGACGUCCACUGGAUCAGGUAGAGCGUCUGAGCCGUCCUCGACAUCAAGUCCAACUCUUCGGAACGGAGAUGGUUCCCGCAUUUCUCUCACGUUUUCUUCAGAUCUCAGCUGGACGGCCGGAGCCUCUGCCACACGGAUCGACUUACUAGUCAAUACUUUGAGAUACAUCUUUAAAUAACUAAAUAAAUCAAUUUCUUAUGCAAUGGA